Molecule: long non-coding RNA, 14314 nt
Filed under: Marmota monax (woodchuck)
Lineage: Eukaryota; Metazoa; Chordata; Mammalia; Rodentia; Sciuridae
Source: RNAcentral
CUAAGCAGAAAUGUCUGUGUUUCAGGAAUCGGUGACCUUCAAGGAUGUGGUAGUGGACUUUACCCAAGAAGAAUGGAAACAGCUGGACCCUAUACAGAGAGAUUUGUUCAGGGAUGUGACGCUGGAAAAUUAUACACAUCUGGUCUCCAUAGGUAAGUAUGACCCCCUGAGUUAAGAUUGGGCUGUGAAGGGGGAGGGCUCUCUCCUCACUUUUCCUUUAGGUUCAGGAGCCAACAAUAUUUAGAUUUUGAGUUUUUAAGGUAGUUUCUACUUCUUUUUUUUUAAUGUUUAUUUUUUAGUUGUACACAAUACCUUUAUUUAUUUUUAUGUGGUGCUGAGGAUUGAACCCAGGGCCUCACAUGUGCUAGACAAGCGCUGUACCACUGAGCCACAACCCCAGCCCAGUUUCUACUUCUUAAUAAGCAGAGGGACAAACUAAUAAUUUUCUUGAAUCCCAUCCAUGUUUAGGAACCAGGUAACACUGAAGCUUGAUACACUAUUUGUUCCCGUCAGGUUUGUCCCACAUACCAGUUUCUCUAAACCAAAGUGAUGAGACUGAAACUGAAUUCUGAUAUGGUCUUCUUCCCUAACUGCAGACAGAUUCUUUUAUUUAUUUAUUUUUAUUCCCCUUGGCAGGACUCCAAGUUUCCAAACCUGAUGUGAUUUCCCAGCUAGAGCAAGGGACAGAGCCAUGGACUGUGGAACCAUUAUGUCCCCUUGGAGGUGAGUAAUGUGUGCUGGCAGAUGAAUGUCACUAGCUCCAGCUGCCAGCCCAGCAAGGGAGGGUUUCAUGCCCGAGCUGUCAGUGUGUAUGCUUCUCUGUAAAGUAUGUCCUGUAGAGAAAGAAAAAUUAUCUAUCCUGCCUAGUCUUAUAUUCUGUCAUGCAACUGUCAUAAUUUAUAUUCUAUUUUUGCAUUCCUUCUAGAGGAUUGGUCAUUCCUGCCUAGUCCUAAAGCCAGGAUCUCUGUCUGCACUCUGGGUUCCCUUUCCUGCUUCCUUUGGGACCUUGAUCUCAUAAUUUUCCAUUUAUUUUUUAUCGCCCCGUUUUUUGUUUUGGAUCUACAGGUUCUAUCCCUGUUAACCAUCAAACAGAAACAGUCUAUAUUUCCAAAUACGAUUACUCAACACUAUUCAUCUUUUUGCCUACCAUCCUCCCUCUCUUUUCUUUCCAAACCUAGCUCACCAAAAGUGGUCUCUGUAGCAGCAACCUGCAUCCCUUCACUUUCUGCAUCUCAUGCAGACCUUCUGAUUCUGUCACUUUUCUAGACUUAUUUUGAAGCUGCAAGUUGGCCUUCUUCUAAAUCAUCAGUGUCUAAACUGCACAGAGAAACCUUUUCUAAGACCGAUCCUGGGGAAGGAAUAACUAGUCUCUCUAGGCAAGGAAUAUAUCCCUAGAGUUAAUGGGAUGCAGUUGGAAAUUCUCUUUUAUAGCGGGAAUAAAAAUGUGAGUCAUGGGGCUAGGGUUGUGGCUCAGUGUAGAGCACUUUCCUAGCAUAAGUGAGGCACUGGGUUCGAUCCCCGGCACCACAUAAAAAAAUAAACAAAUAAAGGUAUUGUGUCCAUCUACAACUAAAAAAAAAUGUGAGUCAUAUGUAAUUUGGAAAUGCUAGAUUAGCUAAAAUUAUAACAAGUUUUUUACUUGAGUACCAUGCAGAGAUUUUUUUUAAAUAGGCAAUUAAGUGUUAUAAAUCCCAUGGUUGAUGUGUGAGGUGUCCCCCAAAAGCUCAUGUGUGAGAUAAUGCAAGACGUUUUACAGGUGAAAUGAUUGGGUUAUGAGACCCCUUAACCAGUAAAUGGGUUAAUCCACUGAUAUGGAUUAACUGGAGGAAGUGGGUCACUGGAGGCAGGACUUCGUGUUUAUAUUUGGUGAAGUGAGCUUUCUCUGCUUCCUGGUGUCAUGCUCUGAGCUGCUUUCCUCUGCCAUGUUCUUCCAUCAUGAUGUUCUGUCUCACCUUGGGCCCAGAGCUUUGGAGUCAACCAGCCAUGGACUGACCCUUUUAAACUGUGAGCCAAAAUAAGUUUUCUCUUCUCUGCAUUAUUCUCCUCAGGUCUUUUGGUCACAGUGCCAAAAAAUCUGACUAAAAAAAUAUGUUUCCAAAAGGUUCACAGACUAUGACUUUUUCUUUCUCCCUUUUCCUCUCCAUCUCCCUGCUUUCUCUCCCCUUUGUCUAACUAUGAAGAUGAUUUCUUGGAAUAUAAUCCAGAAAAUUGUUUUUUAUAAGAGCUUAUUAAUUGGUGCUUACAGUUUAUUAACUUUGGUAAAAAACAAAUUGUGAAGUUGUAUCACAAAUUAAAAAUGAAGUUUCAGAAAGUCCUGACUUGUCCAGAGAGAAAACAAUUUUAAAACAUUUAAAUGUGUAUUCAAAAACCUCGGGCAUUUUUUUAAAAAAAUGCAGUAGUCAUAAAAGAAAUUCAUUUAGGUCAAAAUAUAAAACCCCAUGUUGCAUAGGUGAAAUAUAGGUAGUUACAGUUACCUGAUCAGUGGACAGAAAGCAAAUGUUUGAGGUAUUUAGCUUUUUUUUGGUUACUUUUUAUUGCUGGAAUUUGACCCUAAUGAUGGUAGUCGUAGGAAACCAGCCUCCAGCCUUGCUUUCUUCACUGUUUGGAAUAGAUUUAUCUUUGGUGUAGGAUAGCUGCUUGUGUUUAUAAAGAUAACUCCAGCUGUACAGACAUCUGAACAGGUAAUUGGAAUGGAGACAGUACCUGCAUUGCGGUGCCCUGGGCCUGCCUCCUUCAUCUCUUCAUCCUCUUUCUGUCCUCUUCUCUAGGCUGUCUCGGUAGCCGCCUCUGCAGAAUCAGCACCUAAAAUCCUGAUGUGUCUGCUUUGCCAGUCUGCCUUGUUCUGCAUCCUGGUUUUCAGCACCCUCAGUUUAUGCACUGGGUAUUAGAAUGUUUUGGUCAGUGCCUGGAGAUGAGGAAUACAGUAAAAUGAUUUGGAACUGCUUUCUGAGUAGGGUGCUGGUGUUCAGCAUGGUCUUCUGGAACCUUCUCCAGAGAAGUUUGUUUUUUUAUUGUUGUUAUUGUUUUGUAGGGCUGGGAAUUGAACCCAGGGCCUUGUGCAUGCAAGGCAAGGACUCCACCAACUGAGCUAUAUUCCUAGCCCCGUGAUCUAAUCUUGUUGUCUUCAGCUGAGACACCAGUCGUUGUUGGUGACUGGCCAUGUCCACGCCCUUUUAUCCUUCAGCAACACCCAGCUCUGUGGUUUGCAUUAUCCCUCAGUGCAGAACUUCUCGGACGUACUCCUUAUGGUCAUCUGAUGUAUGAAUGCAUCUUCCUUGGUGUCCUUCCUGUUGAUGGAGACAUUCAUUUAACUACUUGGCUGUGCCGAAGGCUGGCUGCACUGAUCUUGUCUUUGUGGGGAAGUUCUACCGCUAUGAGGCUGCCUGCAUGCAUGCUCUGCCAUGCCCAUAUCCCAGGGGUGGAAGGGAUGGUAGGCCUCUCUGGGGUCUUGCUUAGCUCAUGCUUGCAGACUGUGGUAAGUGGGAAAGACUCAGGGCUCUCUGGAGUGUGCUGUUUACCUUCCUGUCCCAGGGGAACUGAAGAAAUGCAACCUGAAAGAACUUGUUCAUGGCAGAACCUAAAGUGUUGAUCCCAUGCUUCUGUGGUCAUCUCUCUAGUCUGGGAAAACACUCUGCUUUCUGAUUGUCCAUUUCCUGGCCUUUUUGUUUCUUUGCUGUACUUGCCCACAAGCUGCUUUUCUUCUUUUUGCAUAUUUCACUCAUCUCAUUACCCUCUGGGCCCUCAAGGAUCGCCCCUACCUCUGCUCUUCUUUUACUUCCUUUCCUAGCCUGCAGUUGAACAUCCUGCUCAUCCUGUACCUUGUGGCGUCUUCCACCCUCACAGGCACGACCGUGGUCCAGACCUGUUUUUUCUCCACUUUCGCAGAGUGCUUAACUAGAACUUAACUAUCUUCCUCCCCUUAAGUUGUUUCUAGACAGCUCUCCCAUUUAUAACAGCGAUACUACCAUAUCCUCCAUGGUCCAGGCUAACAACCAUGGGGCCCUAGCCCAGUCUUUCUGAUCUGCCCUGUUUUUAAAUCAGUAUUCUUGGACUUGUUGUAUUGUUCAUUAGCAUGGAAUCCUAGUUCUGGCUGCCCCUUUCAGAUUCAGGCCAUUUAUGCCUAUCUUUAACCGUCUCCAGUCACCUUUUUAAUCAUCACCUUAAAUGGAGUCUCCUCGCUCAUUCUGAGAAAUUAUCUGUAAAGUUGAAGUAGGCUUUCUUUUGCCAUAUUCUUAAGUUGUUUAUUGUUCUUAGCUCUUUCUUUCUCCCCAAUAAUAGGGUUAUAUACUUAUUUUUAGCUUCAUUAGAUCAUUCCCACAAUAGUAGUUCUUUUUUCUCAGUUCAAGGGAACACUCACAUUUUAUUUUAUUUCAGAAGGGGAGACAAGACCUGAAGAUAGUGUUCCCCGCCCAGAACUGGGCAUCUCUUCAGAGGUGAUAGUGGGAACAUACAGAAGGGAAGAUAUUUGGAGUUCCCAUGUCUUGGAGUCUCAGGUAUCUGGAUGCAAUAUAGAGAGGCAGCAAGCAAACCAACAGACACCACCAAGUGAAGUAGAAGUGGUCAAAAAAAUAGUACCCACCUGGGAGGGAGGCCCUGCCACGAACGAACUUGAAAAAAGCAUCGUUGUGAGUUCAAGCCUUUUAGCACAGCAGGAAAUAUCUCCAGGACAGGCUUUUGCUAAAGUAAGCAUCAAACAGAAUUCACACACAGUGAAAAAAGAGAAGUCUUGUAAGUGCAGUGAAUGUGGUAAAGCUUUUAGUUAUUGUUCUGCUCUUAUCCGCCAUCAGCGAACACAUACUGGAGAAAAGCCUUACAAAUGUAAUGAAUGUGAAAAGGCCUUCAGCCGGAGUGAAAACCUUAUAAACCAUCAGAGAAUUCACACUGGAGAUAAGCCAUACAAAUGCGAUCAGUGUGGAAAAGGCUUCAUUGAGGGCCCAUCUCUUACUCAGCAUCAAAGAAUACACACCGGAGAAAAGCCCUAUAAAUGUGAGGAGUGUGGGAAGGCCUUUAGUCAGAGGACGCAUCUUGUUCAGCAUCAGAGGAUCCACACGGGUGAGAAGCCUUACACUUGUAAUGAUUGUGGAAAAGCUUUUAGCCAGAGAGGUCAUUUCAUGGAACAUCAGAAGAUUCAUACAGGAGAGAAGCCUUUCAAAUGUGAGGAGUGUGAUAAGACUUUCACCAGGAGCACACACCUCACUCAACAUCAGAAAAUUCACACCGGAGAGAAAACCUACAAGUGUAAUGAAUGUGGCAAGGCCUUCAACGGGCCCUCGACCUUCAUCCGUCACCACAUGAUUCACACGGGCGAGAAGCCCUAUGAGUGCAACGAGUGUGGCAAGGCCUUCAGCCAGCACUCGAACCUCACCCAGCACCAGAAGACACACACCGGCGAGAAGCCCUAUGACUGCGCAGAGUGCGGGAAGGCCUUCAGCUACUGGUCAUCCCUCGCGCAGCAUCUCAAGAUCCACACUGGGGAGAAGCCCUACAAGUGCAGUGAGUGCGGAAAGGCCUUCAGUUACUGCUCGUCCCUUACGCAGCACCGGAGAAUCCACACCAGAGAAAAGCCCUUUGAGUGUAGCGAGUGUGGAAAGGCUUUCAGUUACCUCUCCAACCUCAACCAGCAUCAGAAAACUCACACCCAGGAGAAAGCCUAUGAGUGUAAGGAAUGUGGGAAAGCCUUCAUUCGGAGCUCAUCUCUUGCCAAGCACGAAAGGAUUCAUACCGGGGAGAAACCCUAUCAGUGUCACGAAUGUGGGAAAACCUUCAGCUACGGCUCAUCCCUCAUCCAGCACAGGAAGAUCCACACUGGAGAGAGACCGUACAAGUGUAACGAAUGUGGGAGAGCCUUCAACCAGAACAUACACCUCACACAGCAUAAGAGGAUCCACACAGGAGUGAAGCCUUAUGUGUGUCCCGCAUGUGGGAAGGCCUUUCGGCAUUGCUCCUCUCUCGCACAGCACCAGAAAACUCACACGGAAGAAAAGCCCUACCAGUGCAAUAAAUGUGAGAAGACGUUCAGCCAGAGCUCCCACCUGACUCAGCACCAGCGCAUUCACACUGGAGAGAAGCCCUAUAAGUGCAGUGCAUGUGACAAAGCCUUCAGCCGCAGCACUCACCUGACGGAACACCAGAACACGCAUUCCGGAGAGAAGCCUUACAACUGCAGCGAGUGCAGGAAGACCUUCAGCCAGAGCACUUACCUGACUCAGCAUCAGAGAAUACAUUCAGGGGAGAAGCCUUUUGGCUGUAGCGACUGUGGGAAAGCCUUCAGGUAUCGGUCAGCUCUCACCAAGCACCAGAGACUGCACCCUGGCAUCUGACCGUCCUGGAAGCAUCGUGGGUGUAGGUGCUGCGUGUGCUUGGGUUUGUGCUUUUGUUACGUACUGAAGAAUCGGUAGACAGAAACUCCUCAAGCAUUUGACCUUUUCACUACUGUGAUAUGGGAUGGAAAGUACACUGGCUGAACCCCUGUGGCAGUGGGAAGCUCAAGUGUUUUAAACUUUAGUUUCCUCUGUGAAAUCAGAGUUUGGGGGUUGAUGAUCUCAGCGGCAGUUAGGAGUUUUAUACUCAGUUUUGUAUAUCUACAGUAUAUCCUUAAAUAGUUUGUGCAUCAGGCUUUUGGUGGUGCAUCUAGAAUGUGUAUGUUCAUGCAUGUUUUGCCAGUAGAAGGAAUUCGUGCUUCAGUCACGAGGGAUCUGUUUGACUCCUGUUCUAAUGCACUAAGUUGCUUAGGCUAUUGCUUUCUAAUAAAAAGAACUACAAAGGACCCUCAGUUCAGAUGUAUGUGACAGCCUAACUCCACUUGCGUAUUAAAAGUUGGUAGUCAGGUGGGUGCUCUGCCCCUGUAGUCCAGCUACUCAAGAGUCUGAGCCCAGGAGUUCAACACCACAUUGGACCACAUAGUAGGAUCCCAUCUCAAAAAAACAAAAAGGUAUUCUAGUUUAUUUUUAAUAUUCUGGGAGUUUGUUACAGUCACAUUGGUCUGCUUCUGCAUCUCACAGCAGCAUUACUUAACCCUGGUUGCACAUGGGAAUCAUAUGAUGUCUUAGUUUAGAUUGCUAUAACAAAUUAUAGCCAGGUUUGGUGGCAUAUACCUGUAAUCCCCGAGACUUGGGAGGCAGUAGGAUUACAAGCUUGAGGACAGCCUCACCAACUUGGUGAGACCCUGUCUCAGAAAAUAAACAAGGAUGGGGAUAUUGCUUAGCAGUAGAGUACCUCUGGGUUUAAUCCCCAGUUCCAUAAAACAAACCAACAAAAAUUUACCAUGGAAAUUUAUGGAGUCAGUAAUCUGAGGUCCAGGCUCGAAUGGACCUAGUAUCUGCUGACAGCCCACUUCGUGGUUGUAGAUAGCUGUUUUCUUGGAUGCUUACUUGGCAAAGAGCAGAGAAAGAGAAAGCAAGCUCUCUUUUUAUAGGGUACCAGUCAAGUUCAUGGGGGCUGCACCCUCAACCUAAUACCUCCCCUCAGUGCCUCACACCAAAUACUGUCCCACUGGGGGUAAGCUGCCAACGUGUGCAUUUGGACCGGACACUUCAGGAACGCCACACAAUUCCAUUGCCCAGGCCCCACCCCAUAGACUGUAACUUACUUGGAUUAGGAUAUGGGAUCCAGGAUCCAGGUUUUUUUUAUGUUGUUUGCUUUUAACGUCUCACGUGUGCCCUGGAGAGAGCGAUUGGCUCAGAUUUCAGUGCGCACUCGUUCAGUCAGGAGCCUCUGUGGCUGCUCCUGGAAGCCUCGUAGAUCAGCUCUCAGAGGUAAGGUCAGUUUGUUUCGUCACCUUGGUGCAAAAACAAAAUUAUAACGUUUACACUGAUGACGGUCACUUCACAUGUCUCUGGCUUCCUUACAUCAGAAGCAGUUGACACCCUGGGGAGACAUGGCCCAUAAUCUACAUGACCACUCUGGCCCUGUUCAGGAAACACGUUUAGCCAAAGAGUAAUGCACCUUCUCUUCCCUCUAGGUGCAGCCUAGUUCUUAUCAGGCCAGGUCGUUUACGAGUAGUUGGUCAUUUCUCAGCCUGAACUUGAACAUGAAGAGCUCUUGAGAGCAGCAGGCAGCACAGAAACGGGUAUUUCCAGAAAAGAAGAGGGGGUGAGGGACACCAGUGCUGUUCUCUUUGCCUGUGUAAUUGUGCUCCUUCCUCGACGGCAGAUGCCAGUGAAGGGCAGAUGGAAGUUAGAAGUGGAACAGUGCAGCCACUUAAGUACUGGACUUUUCUUUGUUGCAGCUUGAAGCAGCUAUACAGGAAUGUUUCUUGUUAUUAGUUUCCCAAGUCUUUCUUCACGCAGGAAUUAUAGUUAUCCCAUCACUUAGAGAGGGGGACACAAUCAUCUUUGCCUGGCAUCUGAGUAGCCCCCACAGUACAAAGAAAUGCAGAGUCUACAUACAGGCAGAGGGUCCUUCAGCCCCAGAGGAGAUCUGAAAAUGGACAAAAUCAGUCUGCAGUGGAAGGAUGGGUCACUUCGGUUCCCAUAUGAAAAAAGAAUUUAGGUGGAAAUUCCACUAAACCUGAAAAAUGACAGUUUGUGGCAUUUGAUUUUAUCUCAUUACAGGUACUCUUGGAUCAGACUCGGCGCCAAGAAUGUGUGAUCACCUCCUAACUCAGUCACACUCCUACAGAAGUGACCUCUCAGGCCUCCCUCUGCUUGCUUGGAUUUGUUUCCCUGUGUUUUAGAAGUGUGCUAACUGCUCCCAGGUGAUCGAGGUUGAGAAGGGUAAGCAGCGAGGCCUCGGAAGUUAGCAUUGUCCUGUUUCUGGAUCUCCUUCUUAUGUAUUUAGCCUCUUUGCUGGCUGUCCCAGACCAUGUCCCUAAGCAGUAGACCUGCAGUUGCUGCUGAUCCAAGGAUCUGUCCUUUAUCACCCAAGAUGCACCUCGGCUCCCUACUUCCCUUUUUUUAUACCUUAACUCCCAAUUUAAGAACAGAACAAGGAAGUGACUAUCAUUUCUGACUUUUUCCCCUCCUAAUUCUAUAAUUCUGUGUCAUCUCUAUCAUACACAUAACACUAAUAUUAGUUCCUUAAUAUUUAUCAACUGGGAAUGUAAGCAGAAUUAAAAUCUAGAGAAUUAUAGAUGCAGCUCACCAUCUGUGUGACCACUGACCCUGGAUGGUGAGAGCUGUGACCUGAUGAGUCCAUCCUCGUUUGAAUGGACUGGUGGUAACCACGGGCAGGUGGGGCAUGCCUGGAGGAGGUGAGUCACUGGGGACCUGCCCAGCAUUUUCCCUGUGGCCCCUUCCUUCCUUCCCUGCUUCCUGAGCUGAGCAGCUUCCCUCUGAUGGGCUCUUCCUCCAUGAUGUGCUGCCUCACCUUGUGCUCAGAACAAUGGAGUUGGCCGUCUAUGGACUGAGACCUUUGAGCCCCAGUAAAUUUUUCUUUCUCUUAGUUGUUUUUUAUUUUAUCUUUCCACGUGUUUCAGUCACAGUGAUGCAAAAGCUCACUAAAACAGAUGCAAACCUGGGGUUAAAACUUGUGACACAGCCUAUAUGUGUGCUUGACUUUAGUAGACACUGCCAAAUAGUUCCCCAGUUUACAGUCCCACCACCCAUGUUUGAGAACUUCCAUUGUCCCACAUCUUUGCCAACUUCUCACUCACUGUGGACGUCAACAGCCACUGUGUCAAGUAGGGCAGAGUUCCACUCCAGAGAGAUGCUUUGGAGAGUCUACAGUGUGUAUUUAAAGUUGUGGGACUGGAUGCCAUGGCUAAAGUGGGGGCGUGGAAGUAGAUAAAGAAAAGUUCUGAGGACUGGCGCUUGGUAACUCCAGCUUCUAAGGGCUGGGGCAGAGGUCGCCUAGCAUGUGUGAGGCCCUGGGUUCCAAUGCCACCAUCACACACAAUAUCCAACUUUUAGAAAUCAGGAAGAUGAGGAUCCACAUGGGAAGCAAGCAGCAGGUGUUUCGGGAGGACGAGCAGCAGGGUGUAGAAUCCUGGAAGCUAGAGAAAGCCGUGUUUCAGGAUGAGAGGCUGACCAUCAUGGCAGACACUGCUGAGGCUGAAUGAGAGGCAGACAGUCGGCUUCAGAUUUGGCAAAGGGGACAAGGGUGAUCUUAAAAGCAGUUUUGGAAAAGUAAAUCUAAACCCUGGAGGGGUAAAUAUGAGAAAGGAAGCAACUGGAGAAAGCAAAUUUGAACACUGGUGUUUUGCUGUAAAAGAAAGAAAUGGGUAGUUGCCAGUAGGCAUCAUGGAGUUGGGGACUUCGUAACAUGAGGUACUACAGUUGGAAAGCUGUUGGGAUUGGACCAGAGAGGGAAAAAUGGUGAUCCAGAAGAGAGAGAUAAGUAGCAUGGAGUCCUUGAGGAAGCAGGAUGAGAUGAGCCUUGGGUACAGUGGCAGGGUGGGCUUAGAAGACAAGCACAGUGUGGUUGUUAGAAUAGGAGGGGACAUGAGUCCUCGCGCUUGGUCACGGGGCUGGGGGGACGUCUGACGUUCCCUUCUGUUUUGAUUUUUCCGUAGAAAUUAGGUAACAAAUUAAGGAUAAGAAGAGGUUAAAGAGGUGUUAGAGAGGUUUGGGGAGAGGCGAUGAGGUCAACUCCUACAGUGUGGGAGAGCGAACUGUUCUUAGAGAUGUAAGGUUGGAGGCAGCACCAGCAGUGCCCAUGGGGCACUAGUUCAUGAGUUAAAGGAGACAAAUUGUCAUUAAGUGUUCUUCAGCAACCGUUAGCUGCGUGGGAGCAGGGGUAGAAGAAGCUGAAACUGGGAUAGCCAGAAGUUUUCUAGGAGAAGAGACCAAGAGCAGGGGUGCUUACUUAAGGGGAUUGCUGCGAGGGCUAUAGAAUUCAGGCUGGGAGGAAAGAAUAAGGGUUGGAGGUGGGUGGUGGGAGAAGGUGAGGGAUUAGCAAAGGAAAAAAAAUUCAUGGCUCUUACAAUUUUAGGUUUUGUUGGGACUGAAGAAAUGGAGCAGAUGUCGUAAUCUCCCCAAGAGUGAGGGAGUGCCUUCUGCCAGAAGGGUGGGUGGUCCAGUUGACAGCUGGGGUCUCCCUGCAGCUAGGGGCUCUGGGUGACAGAAUCAUGGUCUGAAAGUGCAGCAAAGAACUAGAAGGCCCCUUCCUCUGCUCCAGGCCUGGGUAAGUUAGGUGUGGAUGUUGAAGCAAGGAAGAGGAGCCAGAAUCUUCUGGAGAGUUGUUUUUGAAUCUGUGAUAUAUGUUCUUGUGAAUUUCAUCAUUAUGCUGAAUAUCAACCAGAAAGUUACUUCAACAAUUUGGGAACAUUUUGAAUUAAGGAUGGUGAUCGAAGAGCCUGGUUUCUCAAAUCUCACAGUAAAAAAAAAAGAACAAAGAAGAAGAAGAAAGGCAAUAGAAGAGGGCCCUUAGAUCCCCAGCACCUCGAAACAAAUUGAUUUUUUUGUUUUUUGUUCAUCAGUGUGAUUUUGCUUAAUGUGAGUCAGUCCCUUCUUGAACUCCUACUGCUGAUCACACCUAGUUUUAAGAACUCGGCACUAGGCUCUGGACGAUGACUACAGCAACAGUUACUCAUUGAAUAGCAACAUUGCAGUCCACUUUUGAGGCAUGAUCUCAUUUUUUUAUAACAACCCCUGGAGGCUUGAGUUGCCAUACCCAUUUUCAUAGGUGAUGAAACAAUCAUAUAAGUGGUGGAGACAGCUUUCAAUUUCUGGUCUUGCUUCAAAGUCUGUACUUUUCCACUCAUCACAAUGCCUACCACAGGUAGUGCUGUCCUGGGUACUGGGUUUUGGGUAGUGACAAGGACAUAGCCACACCCUUGCUUCAACCUCCAUCACAGUUUGGAACUUCUCUUUCAUAUACCCAGUAUUUAAUCUCUAUGGCACUUCCCUUUUGGGCCUAAGCCAUCACACAGAUGCAAAAAUACUUAAUAAAAUAUUAGCAAAUCAUGUCCAACAACAUAUCAAGAUUACACACCAUGACCCAGAUGGUUUUAUUCCACAGACGCAAGGAUGGCUUAAAAUAUGCAAAUCAAUAAAUAUAAUUCAUCACCUAAAGAGGAUUAAGGCCAAAAAAAUCACUAAAUCAUCUCAACAGAUGCAGAGAAGACCUUUGACAAAAUUUAGCACCCAUUCAUGAUAAAGACACUGAAGAAACUAGAGAUAUAAGGAACCUACCUCAAUAUCAUAAAGGUUGUAUAUGAAAAAUCCAAAGCCAACCUCAUAGUAAAUGGGGAAAUACUGAAUGCAUUUUCUAAAAUCUGGGACAAGACAAGAUGUCCACUCUCACCACUCCUAUUAAAUAUAGUGCUAGAGGGCUGGGGUUGUGGCUUAGUGGUAGAGCACUUGCCUAGCAAAUGUGAGGCACUGGGUUCAGUCCUCAGCACCACAUAAAAAAUAAACAAAAUAAAGGUAUUGUGUUCAUUUAUAACUAAAUAUUUUUUAAAAUAUAGUGCUAGGAAAUCUAGCCAGAUUAAUUAGGAAAGAGAAGGAAACAAAAGGGAUAAAAACAAAAAAGGAAAAAGUCAUAUUUUCACUGUUUGCACAUGAUUUGAUCCUAUACCAAGAAGAUUUAAAGAACUGUACCAAAAGACUGUUAGAGCUAAUGAAUAAAUUCAGCAAAGUAGCAGGUUACAAAAUCAACAUACCUUUCAUGUAUCCCAGCAGUGAUUCUGCUGAGAAAGAAUCAGGGAAACAAUUGCUUUCACAAUAGCCCCAAGAAAAUGAAAUAACAAGGCAUAAAGCUAACCAAGGAGGUGAAAGACCUCUACAAUGAAAACUAUAGAACAUUGAAGAAAGAAAUUGAAGAACUCAGAAGAUGGAAAGACCUCUCAUGUUCUUGGAUAGGCAGAAUUCAUAUUGCUAAAAUGACCAUAUUACUGAAAGGAAUAUACAGAUUUGAUGUGGUACCCAUCAAAAUAUCAAUGACGUUCUUCACAGCACUAGAAAAAUCAGUCCUAAAAUUCAUAUGGAAGAAUAAAAGGCCCAAAUAGUCAAAAUAAUUACAACCCAAAAUAAUUAAUAAAUAAUGCUAGAAGCAUCACAAUUUCUGACUUCAAAAAUCUACUACAAAGCUAUAGUAACAAAAACUACAUGAUACUAGCAUAAAAAUAGGCACCUAGAACAAUGAUACAGAUUAGAAGACAGAGAGAAAAACCUGUGCAUCUACAGUCGUCUGAUCCUUGAUAAAGGUGCCAAAAACAUACAAUGGAGAAAAGAUAGUCUUUUUAACAAAUGGCACAAGGGAAACUGGUUAUUCAUAUGUAGAAGAGAAAAACUAGAUCUUUAUCUCUCACCCUGCACAAAAGUCAACUCAAAAUGGAUCAAAGAUGUAGGAAUUAGACCAGAAACUAUGCAACUUCUAGAAGAAAUGUAGGGUUAAUCCUACAACAUAUAGGCACAGGCAAUGGCCUUCUGAAUAGGAUACCUAAGGCUCAGGAAAUAAGGCCAAGUGUUAAUAAAUGGGAUGCUAUGGAAUUGAAAAAGCAUCUGCACAACAAAGGAAACAAUUAUCAAUGUGAAAAGAGAAGCUACAGAAUGGUGGAAAAAUCUUUGCUAGCUAUUUUUCUGACAGAGAAUUAAUAUCCAGAAUUUAUAAAGAAAUCAAAAAACUUUACACCAAAAAAUUAGAUAAUCCAAUUAAUAAAUGGGCAAAUGAACUCAAUGCAUACUUCUCAAAGAAAUAUAACAGCCAAAAAAUACAUGAAAAAAUGUUCAACAUCAUUAGCAAUUAGGGAAAUGCAAAUCAAAACUACACUGAGAUUUCAUCUCACAUCAGUCAGAAUGGAUGAAUGGAUAAAGAAAAUGUGACUUAUAUAAAAAAUGGAGUUUUAUUCAGCCAUAAAGAAUGAAAUUAUGUCAUUUACAGGAAAAUGAAUGGAAUUAUAGACCAUUUUAAGUGGAAUAAGUCAAACUCGGAAGAUCAAGGGUGGUAUAUUUUCUCUUAUAAGCAGAAGCUGGAAAGGAAAAAGAAAAAUGUGGGGGUGGAUCUCAUGAAAAUCAAAGAGUGAUCUGUAUUAGAAAGGGAUGAAGGGGUGAAUGGUGGGGAUGGAGGAGAGAAGUAAAGGGGAUCCAUAUUGGCCAAAUUAUAUUGUUAUAUUGUCUGCAUGUAUGAAUAUGUAACAACAAAUCCCAUCAUAUGUACAACUAUAAUAUCCCAAUAAAAAAAUGUAGAAAAACAACAAAAAGACCAGGAACAAGACAAGCCUGGCUGAUUUGCCCACUAUCUGGUCUAUAUGGAAUUAGAAAUUCUAGCCAGACUAAUUAGUCAAGAAAGAAAAAAAAAAUGGUAUCCAAAGUGGUAAGGAAGAAGCAAAACUAUCUUUGUUCACAGAUGACAUGAUCUUAUACAUAAUAAACCCUGAAGAUCUCACACAAACACAAAAGAGCUACUAAAUCGGUUCAGCAAAGUUAUACAAAAU